RNAcentral lists this long non-coding RNA (1091 nucleotides) under Capsicum annuum. Its description in RNAcentral is "long non-coding RNA (CANN_LNC016465)". The record is from RNAcentral. Lineage: Eukaryota; Viridiplantae; Streptophyta; Magnoliopsida; Solanales; Solanaceae.
CCACGUUAUUUUUAAAUAUUAUAUUAAAUUUUACAUCAACUUUCACAUUAUUUUAAAUACUACAUUGCCACAUAGGAAAUUAAAUAUUUAAAAAAUAAAAAAUUUAAAUUGAGAAUUAAAAUUAAAAAAUUUAAAUUAAAAUGGUAGUGGCCAUUGGCUCUCUCUUCUCCAUCUUCUCUCUUCUCUAUCUCUCCACUCUCUCUUCUCCAUUUCCACCGCCGCACCACCGCUGCUAUCGGUGUGACAACAACCCAUCAGCAUGCUGCCGUCACCUACCACCAGCGUAAACCCCAACCAGCCUCCACCCUCUCCUCCUCUGUUCCACCAUAACUAUAAUUCAACCAUCGUGGCCGGUGACUCCAUCGGUGAGACACAGCAUCCAUCAGUUAGAUAUCUGACCAAUUAAAAAGCUCAAAAGAUGAGCAGCAACAACCAUUUCUAAACCUUCUCAAGAUGUAAAAGUGUUCUUUAAGUAGAUUAAGCCGAUUCUCAAUAUGUAUUUUGACUUUGGCAGACUUAUUAAAAGUAAGAAAAAAUAACUUUUACCACUCCCCCCAAACAGCUAAUUUGCCGAUGAGUGGAGCAAGAACUUAUCCAAUUACUACUAGUUAGGAUGUUAUACCAUACACUCAAUUCAGAAGCAUCAUAACAAUCAAAUAAAUCCAUUAAGGAAUUUCAUCAAGCAACUUUCAGGCAUAUGAUAAUCUCCUGAAGAAUUCUCUACAGAGCUAUUAUUAACACUCACCAAAACAAUUAGUAAUUGUCAACUGAAUACUACAAAAUGAAGAAACAUUUCAAAAAGCCAAUUACAUUCGCCAGAAAACUAGAAAAGGAGCCAAGCGAGAAUGGAUUUCCAUGGCGAAAAUAACACACUCAUUUCAGAAACAUCAUACUAAAAUACAUUCAUAGAGCAAUUUCAUUGAACACCUCAUGUGUAUGACAAUCUUCGGUUAGAUAUGUGACCAAUUUGACGAAAGGAGAUGCAGUAGAGAAGUUUGUUGGAUAAAACAAGGUGGAAUUCACAAGUUCUGCUGCUUCCUUUUUUUGCUUCAUUUUGUAAUUGGAACUUCUGCUUCUUUUUUUUAAAAAAA